CGUAGGGGGCGAGCGUUGUCCGGAUUUACUGGGCGUAAAGAGCGCGUAGGCGGAUGUUUAAGUGUGGCCUCAAAGCCCCCGGCUCAACCGGGGAUCUGGGUUGCAAACUGGGCAUCUUGAGGGGGAUAGAGGAGAGUCGGAAUUCCUGGUGUAGCGGUGAAAUGCGUAGAUAUCAGGAGGAACACCCGUGGCGAAGGCGGCUCUCUGGGUCCGCCCUGACGCUGAGGCGCGAAAGCGUGGGGAGCGAACGGGAUUAGAUACCCCGGUAGUCCACGCCGUAAACGAUGAUCACUAGGUGUGUGCGGUAUCGACCCCGCACGUGCCGCAGCUAACGCAAUAAGUGAUCCGCCUGGGGAGUACGGCCGCAAGGUUG
RNAcentral lists this ribosomal RNA (373 nucleotides) under uncultured organism. RNAcentral's name for it is "bacterial SSU rRNA". It matches the Rfam family "Bacterial small subunit ribosomal RNA", at positions 526 to 896 of the family's 1533-position model. The record is from RNAcentral.